This is a long non-coding RNA of Ctenopharyngodon idella (grass carp), 3104 nucleotides long. RefSeq lists it as uncharacterized. The transcript is spliced from 5 exons. Lineage: Eukaryota; Metazoa; Chordata; Actinopteri; Cypriniformes; Xenocyprididae. The record is from RefSeq and is a predicted model, not a curated record.
UGUAAACUAUUCCCAUAAUAAAGCUUUAUUAUAUGCCUUGAAAACAUUAACAUUGAUACUAAAGAUUGAAACACCAUAACACAUGUAAAUGAAGUAAUUAAAAACAAAAUGUAAAUAAAAAACACACUUCAGUGAUUAGACACUUUGUAUAAAUUCAUGAUACUUUUCCUCCCCCAUUUCCGACAAUACGGUUUCAGGAAACAGUCGUGACUAGCUAGUUGAUUUGUUCAACGAUCUCGUACUAUGGUAGUUCAGCAGCGAGUUACAUCGUUGUUCGGGAAACGCACCCCUGAUGGAUUCUUCUUUGAGAAACUGGUUCAGACCGCUGAAUUCAACAGGUGGGCCAGACAACUCAUCCGCGUGCGUUCUCACCGCCGCCAUCUUUGGACAGAUCUCAGAUGAUUCUGGCUUAUACACACUGCUGCCUGAUCCUGAUACUCAAAUACAACUAACUGUCAGAAGAGGUGAACCAUAGAGACCCACAACAUCAUUACCAAGAGGUACCAGAGUAAACCAGGAAGAGAAUGUUUAUUUAUCCACACAAAAAACUACUCAUACAAUAUAAUUAACUUAGUUCAAAUUGAACGAACAGUCCUGCAAAUGUCACAACACAGAACUGGACCAAAAAAGAGAUCAGGGUGAUCCGUCUGUCUGUCUGUGCAUCAUAUUUAGAGCAGAGCACCGGUGGUGUGAGGACCCUAUUGUAAUUGCUCGGUCUAUUAUUCUUCUUCUCUGAAACUAAUCGCAAUUUCGAGGGCCUAAACAUGCUCGAAAACUCAACUUUGCACAUGCAUCAGAAGUGGUGAAAAUUUACAUAUGAUAUGGGUUUCAGAAUUAGGUGUGGCAAAAUGGCUUGAUAGCACCACCUACAAAGAUUUCAAUUAAGUGCCCUUCACGCUAAAUUUCACGAAUGAAAUUCGGUACACACAUGUAACAGCCAAUACCUACAAAAACGUCCCAGAGUGCAAAAUCUAUAAACCCAACAGGAGACUUACGAUAUUUAGAAUUUUCCCAGCAAAAUUUUGGUAGUUUUUGACAUUUCCAGACAUUGUACUUUAAUGAACUCAUCAGAAUAACAUCAUAUUUGGUCAGUCUAAUCUAAAGGCCUUUGCGACAUUAAAUUGCGAAGAUCUAGAGUUUUCUCUGAAGGGCGUGUCCGCGGCGGCCUGACAAAAUUCGAUGUUUCGCCAUGAAACAGGAAGCUGUUGUAACUCAGGCAUACAAUGUCCGAUCUGCCCCAAACUUCACGUGUGAUAAGGGUCCUGGCCUGAAGACAUCUACAUGCAAAUAUUCAGUUAGUCAUAGUACCACCUGCUGGAAACAGGAAAUGGCAAUUCACUCACAGAAACACAUUUAAAUAUGCCAUGAAGUACCAAACGUGGUAGAAACAUGUUAAAUCAUGCAACACUUGGCUAAACGCUAAAGUAUUAACGCCACGAAACAGGAAGUUGUUGUAACUCUGUACACACAACUUGUAACUUGUUGUCUUUGCAAUUGACCACUUGUCUACUUACAUGAUGUAUUUCCUGUAUUUGGCUCAAGCUUUCAAGUAGGUGUGAAGACUGCAAGUGUGUGUAGAAUUUUUGAUUACCCGAUGGGACACACUUAUAGUCUUGCAAAAAAUGCAAGCGUUUACAGCUUUUUUUUAAUUAUUAUUUUCAAUACUUUGCAUUUUAAAAUACACUUCUAAAUGUCUUCUAAACUGUCAUUCUAUUGUUCAUUCUAUCUUAUCCAUAUCUUUUAAUUACACACACACACACACACACACACACACACAAAGCUAGUUGUGUCUUUCUACAGGUGAGUAGGCUAGAGGAGACUUCCUCUUUUCUACACAAUCUUCACUCACGCUUAACAGCUAUUGUGUAUUUUUUUAUCUCCAGUAUCUGUGUCUUAUCACACCAGGAUCAAGGUCUUCAGGAUUAAUAGAAAGUUAUAGGCAGAUGAGUUUGAUCAAGGUUGGAGCUUUUUUUUUUUUUUUUGCAACUUCACUGUAUUCAUUAUACACUGAUCACACAGCUUAUUUAUACUUGAGAAACUUUAUAGUUAACAGUUAUACACGAGAUGCAAAAGAAAGAGUCUCUCAUGAGAUCUAAAUUAAUUUCAGGUUAGUCCAGCACCUUAUUUGUUGCUUUAUCAUAAAAUUAAAAUCAUACAAUUUUUAAUUAAAGGCACAAUUUAAAAUGAUUGAUUGUCACUGCAUUAGAUAAUAAAACAUCAAACCAUUUUUUCAGAUUAAACGACAUCGGGCAAACAUGAUGAGUUAAGUUAGUGAAGAGAAAAGAUCCUGCAGAGUCUGUUUGAUAUUUUAUCCAAUGCAAUAACAUUCACACAUUUUAAAGUGUCCAAAUACUCUCUGAGGCCACAUGAAAACAUGACAACACUAUAAAAUACAAUGUUAUGAUCUGAAGCUGUGGUUAUAUUGUUUUGAAAUGCACAGUAAGGACCUGGUGUAGUGAUGGAUGUGGAAAUGAAGGUAAGGAGGGGAAAUGAAGGGAAAUGAAGGGAAGUUAAGCAUUGCACCAUACUUUGUGUCAGUACGGAAGAUAGAGUUGUUUUCCAAUGUUCAAGGAUUUUAUGUAGUCAAAAAGUGCCGUAAAGCUUCACCAUGUGGAGCUUUAUUCUUCUUCUCUGGUCCUGGAUUCGUAUCGCUGUUGUUGUAGGAGCUUCAGAGACAAUUAUAGGAUACAGAGGAGAGAGAGUUGAGAUCAGAUGCUCAUAUGAAUCUGGAUAUGAAUCAAAUUCAAAGUAUUUUUGUAAAGGUGAGUGCAUCAUUGGAAUUAAAAACAUCAUGGUUAAAUCAGGAUCUCCAGCUAAAGACGAGAGAUUCUCUCUGACUGACAACACGACGAACAGAGUUUUCACCGUCACCAUCACUGAUCUGAGAACAGAGGAUGAAAGCAAAUACUGGUGUGCUGUGGAGAGGACUUUGUCUUUAACUGAUGUCUAUUCAGAGAUUUUGUUGAAGGUUAAACAGGGUCCAUUGACUCAAACCACUUCACCUGACACAAGUUCAUUUGGUAUCAUCAUCACAGGAGUUUUGGUUUUUCUCCUGAUAAGUGCUGUAUUGCUUAUUGUGGCCGUACGAAAGAAAAAGCAGACUU